RNAcentral lists this unclassified non-coding RNA (334 nucleotides) under soil metagenome. Its description in RNAcentral is "partial contains 5.8S ribosomal RNA, internal transcribed spacer 2, and large subunit ribosomal RNA". The stretch from base 1 to 120 matches the Rfam family "5.8S ribosomal RNA", at positions 35 to 154 of the family's 154-position model. The record is from RNAcentral.
GAUGAAGAACGCAGCGAAAUGCGAUACGUAAUGUGAAUUGCAGAAUUCAGUGAAUCAUCGAAUCUUUGAACGCACAUUGCGCCUGCCAGCACUCUGGCAGGCAUGCCUGUUCGAGCGUCAUUUCAACCAUCAAGCCCUAGGCUUGCGUUGGAGCCCUGCGGCUGCCGCAGGCCCCUAAAAGCAGUGGCGGGCUCGCUAUCACACCGAGUGCAGUAGAUUACUCUUCGCUCAGGGCGUGUGGCGGGUUCCAGCCGUGAAACCCCCUACUUCUCAAGGUUGACCUCGGAUCAGGUAGGAAUACCCGCUGAACUUAAGCAUAUUAAUAAGCGGAGGA